CAUAGGUUAAUGAGGCGAACCGGGGGAACUGAAACAUCUAAGUACCCCGAGGAAAAGAAAUCAACCGAGAUUCCCCCAGUAGCGGCGAGCGAACGGGGAGGAGCCCAGAGCCUGAAUCAGCAUGUGUGUUAGUGGAAGCGUCUGGAAAGGCGCGCGAUACAGGGUGACAGCCCCGUACACAAAAGCGCAUGUGCUGUGAGCUCGAUGAGUAGGGCGGGACACGUGGUAUCCUGUCUGAAUAUGGGGGGACCAUCCUCCAAGGCUAAAUACUCCUGACUGACCGAUAGUGAACCAGUACCGUGAGGGAAAGGCGAAAAGAACCCCGGCGAGGGGAGUGAAAAAGAACCUGAAACCGUGUACGUACAAGCAGUGGGAGCACCCUUUGGGGUGUGACUGCGUACCUUUUGUAUAAUGGGUCAGCGACUUAUAUUCUGUAGCAAGGUUAACCGAAUAGGGGAGCCGGAGGGAAACCGAGUCUUAAUUGGGCGUUAAGUUGCAGGGUAUAGACCCGAAACCCGGUGAUCUAGCCAUGGGCAGGUUGAAGGUUGGGUAACACUAACUGGAGGACCGAACCGACUAAUGUUGAAAAAUUAGCGGAUGACCUGUGGCUGGGGGUGAAAGGCCAAUCAAACCGGGAGAUAGCUGGUUCUCCCCGAAAGCUAUUUAGGUAGCGCCUCGUGAAUUCAUCUCCGGGGGUAGAGCACUGUUUCGGCUAGGGGGCCAUCCCGGCUUACCAACCCGAUGCAAACUGCGAAUACCGGAGAAUGUUAUCACGGGAGACACACGGCGGGUGCUAACGUCCGUCGUGAAGAGGGAAACAACCCAGACCGCCAGCUAAGGUCCCAAAGUCAUGGUUAAGUGGGAAACGAUGUGGGAAGGCCCAGACAGCCAGGAUGUUGGCUUAGAAGCAGCCAUCAUUUAAAGAAAGCGUAAUAGCUCACUGGUCGAGUCGGCCUGCGCGGAAGAUGUAACGGGGCUAAACCAUGCACCGAAGCUGCGGCAGCGACGCUGAUGCGUUGUUGGGUAGGGGAGCGUUCUGUAAGCCUGCGAAGGUGGCCUGUGAGGGUUGCUGGAGGUAUCAGAAGUGCGAAUGCUGACAUAAGUAACGAUAAAGCGGGUGAAAAGCCCGCUCGCCGGAAGACCAAGGGUUCCUGUCCAACGUUAAUCGGGGCAGGGUGAGUCGACCCCUAAGGCGAGGCCGAAAGGCGUAGUCGAUGGGAAACGGGUUAAUAUUCCCGUACUUGGUGUUACUGCGAAGGGGGGACGGAGAAGGCUAUGUUGGCCGGGCGACGGUUGUCCCGGUUUAAGCGUGUAGGUGUGUGUUCCAGGUAAAUCCGGUUCACUUUAACACUGAGGCGUGAUGACGAGGCACUACGGUGCUGAAGCAACAAAUGCCCUGCUUCCAGGAAAAGCCUCUAAGCAUCAGGUAACAUCAAAUCGUACCCCAAACCGACACAGGUGGUCAGGUAGAGAAUACCAAGGCGCUUGAGAGAACUCGGGUGAAGGAACUAGGCAAAAUGGUGCCGUAACUUCGGGAGAAGGCACGCUGACAUGUAGGUGAAGUGAUUUACUCAUGGAGCUGAAGUCAGUCGAAGAUACCAGCUGGCUGCAACUGUUUAUUAAAAACACAGCACUGUGCAAACACGAAAGUGGACGUAUACGGUGUGACGCCUGCCCGGUGCCGGAAGGUUAAUUGAUGGGGUCAGCGCAAGCGAAGCUCCUGAUCGAAGCCCCGGUAAACGGCGGCCGUAACUAUAACGGUCCUAAGGUAGCGAAAUUCCUUGUCGGGUAAGUUCCGACCUGCACGAAUGGCGUAAUGAUGGCCAGGCUGUCUCCACCCGAGACUCAGUGAAAUUGAACUCGCUGUGAAGAUGCAGUGUACCCGCGGCAAGACGGAAAGACCCCGUGAACCUUUACUAUAGCUUGACACUGAACAUUGAGCCUUGAUGUGUAGGAUAGGUGGGAGGCUUUGAAGUGUGGACGCCAGUCUGCAUGGAGCCGGCCUUGAAAUACCACCCUUUAAUGUUUGAUGUUCUAACGUGGACCCGUGAUCCGGGUUGCGGACAGUGUCUGGUGGGUAGUUUGACUGGGGCGGUCUCCUCCUAAAGAGUAACGGAGGAGCACGAAGGUUGGCUAAUCCUGGUCGGACAUCAGGAGGUUAGUGCAAUGGCAUAAGCCAGCUUGACUGCGAGCGUGACGGCGCGAGCAGGUGCGAAAGCAGGUCAUAGUGAUCCGGUGGUUCUGAAUGGAAGGGCCAUCGCUCAACGGAUAAAAGGUACUCCGGGGAUAACAGGCUGAUACCGCCCAAGAGUUCAUAUCGACGGCGGUGUUUGGCACCUCGAUGUCGGCUCAUCACAUCCUGGGGCUGAAGUAGGUCCCAAGGGUAUGGCUGUUCGCCAUUUAAAGUGGUACGCGAGCUGGGUUUAGAACGUCGUGAGACAGUUCGGUCCCUAUCUGCCGUGGGCGCUGGAGAACUGAGGGGGGCUGCUCCUAGUACGAGAGGACCGGAGUGGACGCAUCACUGGUGUUCGGGUUGUCAUGCCAAUGGCACUGCCCGGUAGCUAAAUGCGGAAGAGAUAAGUGCUGAAAGCAUCUAAGCACGAAACUUGCCCCGAGAUGAGUUCUCCCUGAGACUUAGAGUCUCCUGAAGGAACGUUGAAGACGACGACGUUGAUAGGCCGGGUGUGUAAGCGCAGCGAUGCGUUGAGCUAACCGGUACUAAUGAACCGUGAGGCUUAACCUUACA
This 2746-nucleotide ribosomal RNA is filed under the name Salmonella enterica subsp. enterica serovar Bredeney. RNAcentral's name for it is "partial 23S ribosomal RNA". It matches the Rfam family "Bacterial large subunit ribosomal RNA". The record is from RNAcentral. Lineage: Bacteria; Pseudomonadati; Pseudomonadota; Gammaproteobacteria; Enterobacterales; Enterobacteriaceae.